GUGAGUUAGCCAAGUGGUAAGGCGUAGGUCUGCAACACCUUGAUCGCCGGUUCAAAUCCGGCACUCA
This 67-nucleotide transfer RNA is filed under the name bovine gut metagenome. It matches the Rfam family "tRNA". Rfam says of the family: Transfer RNA (tRNA) molecules are approximately 80 nucleotides in length. Their secondary structure includes four short double-helical elements and three loops (D, anti-codon, and T loops). Further hydrogen bonds mediate the characteristic L-shaped molecular structure. tRNAs have two regions of fundamental functional importance: the anti-codon, which is responsible for specific mRNA codon recognition, and the 3' end, to which the tRNAs corresponding amino acid is attached (by aminoacyl-tRNA synthetases). tRNAs cope with the degeneracy of the genetic code in two manners: having more than one tRNA (with a specific anti-codon) for a particular amino acid; and 'wobble' base-pairing, i.e. permitting non-standard base-pairing at the 3rd anti-codon position. The record is from RNAcentral.